AAGUUGUGAGUAGGACAAGCAACCAAUAAUCUCUUGAAUCUCUUGCAUGCAUCACCCAAUGAUUCUCCCUCCUUCUGUUUAAAAUUCAUAAUAUCAUAUCUUUUCUU
Lathyrus oleraceus (garden pea) is the source of this 107-nucleotide small nucleolar RNA. NCBI's taxonomy places the organism in Eukaryota, Viridiplantae, Streptophyta, Magnoliopsida, Fabales, Fabaceae. The record is from RefSeq and is a predicted model, not a curated record.